CGACAGCAUAUGAAGGUCAGGCUGAAGACCUUACCCGAUUAGCUGAGAGGUGGUGCAUGGCCGUCGUCAGUUCGUACUGUGAAGCAUCCUGUUAAGUCAGGCAACGAGCGAGACCCACGUCCACAGUUGCCAGCAUACCCUCCGGGGUGAUGGGUACACUGUGGAGACCGCCGCUGCUAAAGCGGAGGAAGGAGUGGGCAACGGUAGGUCAGUAUGCCCCGAAUCUCCCGGGCUACACGCGGGCUACAAUGGUUGGUACAAUGGGCAUCUACCCCGAAAGGGGAAGGAAAUCUCUUAAAGCCAAUCGUAGUUCGGAUUGAGGGCUGCAACUCGCCCUCAUGAAGCUGGAAUCCGUAGUAAUCGCGUUUCAACAGAACGCGGUGAAUACGUCCCUGCUCCUU
Molecule: ribosomal RNA, 401 nt
Filed under: uncultured Methanosaeta sp.
Lineage: Archaea; Methanobacteriati; Methanobacteriota; Methanomicrobia; Methanotrichales; Methanotrichaceae
Description: bacterial SSU rRNA
Rfam family: Archaeal small subunit ribosomal RNA
Source: RNAcentral